This 245-nucleotide ribosomal RNA is filed under the name uncultured Actinomycetales bacterium. RNAcentral's name for it is "partial 16S ribosomal RNA". It matches the Rfam family "Bacterial small subunit ribosomal RNA", at positions 88 to 334 of the family's 1533-position model. The record is from RNAcentral. Lineage: Bacteria; Bacillati; Actinomycetota; Actinomycetes; Actinomycetales.
UGCUCGAGUGGCGAACGGGUGAGUAACACGUGAGUAACCUGCCCUUGACUUUGGGAUAACUUCAGGAAACUGGGGCUAAUACCGGAUAGGAGCUCCUGCUGCAUGGUUGGGGUUGGAAAGUUUCGGCGGUUGGGGAUGGACUCGCGGCUUAUCAGCUUGUUGGUGGGGUAGUGGCUUACCAAGGCUUUGACGGGUAGCCGGCCUGAGAGGGUGACCGGCCACAUUGGGACUGAGAUACGGCCCAG